RNAcentral lists this ribosomal RNA (484 nucleotides) under uncultured bacterium. RNAcentral describes it as "partial 16S ribosomal RNA". It matches the Rfam family "Bacterial small subunit ribosomal RNA", at positions 30 to 507 of the family's 1533-position model. The record is from RNAcentral.
AUUGAACGCUGGCGGCAGGCCUAACACAUGCAAGUCGAGCGGAUGAAGGGAGCUUGCUCCUGGAUUCAGCUGCGGACGGGUGAGUAAUGCCUAGGAAUCUGCCUGGUAGUGGGGGAUAACGUCCGGAAACGGGCGCUAAUACCGCAUACGUCCUGAGGGAGAAAGAGGGGGAUCUUCGGACCUCACGCUAUCAGAUGAGCCUAGGUCGGAUUAGCUAGUUGGUGGGGUAAAGGCCUACCAAGGCGACGAUCCGUAACUGGUCUGAGAGGAUGAUCAGUCACACUGGAACUGAGACACGGUCCAGACUCCUACGGGAGGCAGCAGUGGGGAAUAUUGGACAAUGGGCGAAAGCCUGAUCCAGCCAUGCCGCGUGUGUGAAGAAGGUCUUCGGAUUGUAAAGCACUUUAAGUUGGGAGGAAGGGCAGUAAGUUAAUACCUUGCUGUUUUGACGUUACCAACAGAAUAAGCACCGGCUAACUUCGUG